Non-coding RNA from Triticum aestivum (bread wheat), 133 nucleotides. NCBI's taxonomy places the organism in Eukaryota, Viridiplantae, Streptophyta, Magnoliopsida, Poales, Poaceae. The record is from Rfam.
AAUGUACUCCAUCCGUCCCGAAUUACUUGUCUUAGAUUUGUCUAGAUACGGAUGUAUCUAAACGUGGUUUUUUUAGAUACAUCUGUAUCUAGAAAAAUCUAAGACAAGUAAUAUUGGACGUAGGUAAUAAUGU